GUAGGGUGCAAGCGUUAAUCGGGAAUUACUGGGGCGUAAAGCGUGCGCAGGCGGUUGUGCAAGACAGAUGUGAAAUACCCCCGGGGGCUCAACCUGGGAAUUGCAUUUGUGACUGUACGGCUAGAGUGUGUCAGACGGGGGGUAGAAUUCCACGUGUAGCAGUGAAAUGCGUAGAGAUGUGGAGGAAUACCGAUGGCGAAGGCAGCCCCCUGGGAUAACACUGACGCUCAUGCACGAAAGCGUGGGGAGCAAACAGGAUUAGAUACCCUGGUAGUCCACGCCCUAAACGAUGUCAACUAGUUGUCGGGUCUUAAUUGACUUGGUAACGCAGCUAACGCGUGAAGUUGACCGCCUGGGGAGUACGGUCGCAAGAUUA
RNAcentral lists this ribosomal RNA (376 nucleotides) under uncultured organism. RNAcentral's name for it is "partial 16S ribosomal RNA". It matches the Rfam family "Bacterial small subunit ribosomal RNA", at positions 527 to 896 of the family's 1533-position model. The record is from RNAcentral.